UCUUUUUUUAGGGCUUCUCCUCUCUUUGAAGAGAGGGGAAGAGGAGCCGCUGCCGGCCGAGAGAGAGGAAAAGAGGGAGGGUCUUCUUCGCGUUGCCGGAGAGAAAGAGAGGAAGAGGGAGCCGAGAAGCCACAGCGCGGACGAUCCUUUUCCUCCUCCGUUUGCCGCCGGAAAGAAGCCGCCGGAUCUUCGCCGGGGCUGAGGUUCUGCGAGGAAUUUGUGAAAUUAAUUGGAUUUGUUGUGGAUCGCAUUCAAUAUCCGAAGAAUUAGCUCGAUCCGGGGUUUUACAAUAUGGGAGUGCGAAUAAAAGAAUUAUGGCUCAAGUUAUCUUAGAUUAGGUUUUUAUUUAAUUUAAUGUUCCAUCUUUAUUGUUCCGCUGCGUAUUUAGAAUUGUGAGACUUUAUAAUUUAUGUCUGUCAAUGGAAUAAGAUUGCAUUUAUUUCAGUUGAAUUAAUUUAGAAUUGCAUAAUUGAGGUGUUUUGGUUUAGAUGCCUUGCAUGCUCGUGGGGAGAGUUCCCUACGGGUGUGCGGCGGUUGGCGCGGACCCCCGGCUCGCGAUCUCGGGCCGGGGGCGUGACAACUUUUAUGGUAUCAGAGCAUAAUUGGAUAAAUUAUGAAAUAAGAAAAUCUGACAUGACAUGAGUGUAGGUGGGUAGACACUAGGGACAUUGGGACGUUAGUUUAUGAUGACUGUAACAACCAUUCCAUGUACUUGUAAUGAACUGGUAAGCUUAUUAUUGGCAUGCUGCUAUCUGAUAGACAUAGGUCAGUAUGCCUCCACGUCGGACGAGAAAAAAACUACUCGCAGAGCUACUAAUAAGGCACCCAACCCGCAAAAUGACAGCACAUCCCAACAAGUUGGUAACACCCCUCAGCAGGAGAGAGUCGUCAAUCCUGCUAGUGAUACUCAGACAGAACGACAAGAACCGGGCCUAGGCCAGGUUAUGCAAACCAUAGUGGGCCUUAUGCAGAUGCAACAGCAGUUGCCCCAGACAAGACGACUUUGAUUUGAAGAGUGUUAUGACUUAGUUUGGAAGAAGUAUAAUCUACUCUUGAACUACAUGUACGAAAAUUUCGUGGACGAAAUUUCUUUUAAGGGGUGGAGGAUGUGAGAUCCCGAAACUGGGCCCGGCCCAUUGACCGGCCCAGCCCAAAUUUUUGGCCUCACGUGCGUCGCACGUGAGGGCGUGUGAGAAGGGGGGGAGCCAUCCCGAAGAAGCCGGCUCCCCCAUUCUUUUUUUAGGGCUUCUCCUCUCUUUGAAGAGAGGGGAAGAGGAGCCGCUGCCGGCCGAGAGAGAGGAAAAGAGGGAGGGUCUUCUUCGCGUUGCCGGAGAGAAAGAGAGGAAGAGGGAGCCGAGAAGCCACAGCGCGGACGAUCCUUUUCCUCCUCCGUUUGCCGCCGGAAAGAAGCCGCCGGAUCUUCGCCGGGGCUGAGGUAAGAUUUCUAGCUUCACCUCUUGGUUAUACCAUUUGAAAAGAAGAAGAAGAAGAGAGAAGGAAAAGGAGGGGGAGGCACCCGUGGCAAUCGGCUUGCCUUCGGCCACAGGCGCCGCCGGCCCUCAGUGACGGCCACUUUGAGGACCGGAGAGCACCACUUUCCCUUGUUCCUCUUCUCUGUUCAGUGAAAACAGAGAAGGAAUAGUGGAAGGAGAAAGAGAGAAAGAAAGAAAGAAAGAAAGGAGAAGAGAGGGAAGAAGGAGAAGGUGUGGGUUUCUCCCAUGCCCAUACCUCCUCCACGGGAAGAAGGAGAGAGCCGGCCGCUGUGGCCGCCGCCGGCCUUGACUUGGCCACUCCCGAGCUCGCCAACCUCCCUUCGCGGGAGAAGAAAGAAGAAGAAAGAAAGGGGGGAGGAGAAGAAGUCGGGAGAAGAGGAAGAGGAGAAAGAAAAAGAAAGAAGAAAAGAAAGGGGGAAGGAAGAAGGAAGUCGGGAGAAGAUUCCAGAGAAGAAGAGAAGAGAAGAAAAGAAAAAAAAAAAAAAAAAGAAAAGGGGAGGGAAGGAAAGAAAAGAAAAAGAAAAGAAAGAAAAAGAAAAGAAAUAAAGAAACAAAAAAUAAAUAAAUAAAUAAAUAAAGGGAGAGAGUGGUUUACGGGUAUGAACCCGAAUACAAACCCAAACUCGGGAUGUCGGACACUUCCGCGUGUUCGGCCCUGGGAGGAUGUUAAGAUUUGAGUUUUAUACGUAUAUUGUGAUGAAUUUUAAAAGAAAAAUAUGAUUUUUGGAUAUUAGGUUCUGCGAGGAAUUUGUGAAAUUAAUUGGAUUUGUUGUGGAUCGCAUUCAAUAUCCGAAGAAUUAGCUCGAUCCGGGGUUUUACAAUAUGGGAGUGCGAAUAAAAGAAUUAUGGCUCAAGUUAUCUUAGAUUAGGUUUUUAUUUAAUUUAAUGUUCCAUCUUUAUUGUUCCGCUGCGUAUUUAGAAUUGUGAGACUUUAUAAUUUAUGUCAGUCAAUGGAAUAAGAUUGCAUUUAUUUCAGUUGAAUUAAUUUAGAAUUGCAUAAUUGAGGUGUUUUGGUUUAGAUGCCUUGCAUGCUCGUGGGGAGAGUUCCCUACGGGUGUGCGGCGGUUGGCGCGGACCCCCGGCUCGCGAUCUCGGGCCGGGGGCGUGACAUCUACCCUCUCGAGGGGUCAGUGGUUCGUCGUUGCCAGAAAGAAGAAAAAAAAAGAUUCGCUCUCGCUCAACCAUCUUUUUUCCUCGCUGUCAUUCUUCUCAGGGCCUCGCCAGAGUUGUGCUACCACACCCCUACCUCUCCUGACCUCAUCGUUCAUCGAGCCAUCGUUGCCAGCCGAGAUCUCAUCGUGAGAUCAUCGAACUUGGAAACGGGAGCAAAUCCCCUAUUUUUGUGAUCUACCCCUUCUUACUUUGAUAUUUUUUAUGAUGGCCAGUCGGACCUUCGGCCAAGUCUUCAUGGGACUCUCCUUGACCCGCAUGGUGGAACUUCGACCGCCGGCGAGUGAUUUGAGCUGAGUGAGGCUCCGGUUCAUGUUUUAGGCUGACCAUUGUAUUGUUUUUCUAUUCUCUUUCUUCCACGUUGUCAUUACCGCUGUCUCUGCGGCCAUCGCAACCUCACUGGAGGUUGAGCCUGUGGCAGGUGCUAGUUGCCACUGAUGCCGGCUCUCCUCCACCCUAGUUCAAGUUACCAAACCUUCCCUAUUUAGACUUCAUUCACUGCUGACCAACACAGUCGUUGAUGUUGUUGUGGUUGUCACUAGUGGCCAGACAUUAGGCCAACGAUGAUGCAGCCGAUCGCCAGUGUCGCCUCCAUCUAGAUCAACCUCUAACCUCCCUAUUUUGAGAAAGAAGGAAAGAGUUUCCACUUUUCUUUCUCUUUUCUAUCUCUUCCUUUCUCUCUUGUCUUCCUCUCUCUUUUGUUUGCUUCUAAGCGGAUCCAGUAGAGAAUCCUUCUCCCUCUUUUGUUCCUCUCCAUGUUCUUUGGUCAACCUCGUAGACAGUCUUAGAGCACCAUUGUUGUGAUUGCCUUGAGUAGCUAUGCAGCAUGUCAGCCCCCACCGCAGCACUUGCCAAGCACAGUUUAAUUUCAUCAUCAUUAAUCUUUCUUGAGCUAUCUAUACUAUAGUCUGACUCUAGGUUUAUAAUUGGACUAGUGAGAUUACCUAGAUCAGAUCAACCGGAGUCGUCUGAUGUUACUACCUAACUGGCCAUGUCUUUCCUCCACUGCGACCUUCGUCGGUUAUCUAAAAAUAUGACAUGUUACAUUUGCUUUGAUCAGAGACCGAUUUCUUGAUCAGAUGAAUUGGGAUACAUUAUGCUGACCGAAUCUGACUACUCGCCACCGCCACCCGACCGGCCUCAUUUUUCUUCAUAUGCAUAUCUACUUUAUGGUCAGCCUUGGUUAUGUAUGGGGGUGCAGUCAUUCAAACAAGAAGAAGAACAAAAGAAUUUUAUACUCUAGUUCUUCAAUCAAGGUAGAACCCUAAUUUCUUAUUUAUUUAUUUAAUCUCAAAUUAGGUAGGAAAGAAAAAUUAGAUUUAAGAGUAAUUUAGAUAUUAGAGCUCCGAAAUAGGAAACUAACAAUGAUUGAUUUAUUUCUUAUACUAAUGUUUGGUCAAGGACGGGUUGGAUUUAUACUGAUUGAUUGGGGGUGCAGUCAUUCAAACAAGAAGAAGAACAAAAGAAUUUUAUACUCUAGUUCUUCAAUCAAGGUAGAACCCUAAUUUCUUAUUUAUUUAUUUAAUCUCAAAUUAGGUAGGAAAGAAAAAUUAGAUUUAAGAGUAAUUUAGAUAUUAGAGCUCCGAAAUAAGAAACUAACAAUGAUUGAUUUAUUUCUUAUACUAAUGUUUGGUCAAGGACGGGUUGGAUUUAUACUGAUUGAUUGGUUUGUAUCGCUGGGUUUAUAUCGUGAGAUUUGCAUCAACAAAUUUAGUUUUGUAUGAGAUAUGUUUUAUUUGAUUUUCAGAUAUGAACAUAUUUAUGUGUUAUUAUAUAUGGAUAUCAGCUAUUGAAGUUAUAAUUAUAUAAAUUCUAAUUCAUAUUAUUUUGAAAUUAUGAGAAAUACAUUAUUUAAUUAGAGUUGAUUUGACAAGAAUAACGUAUAAAAUCAGAUAGAUAAGAAGCGGUUUGGACUAACUUGUCAUGUGGAUAGCCUUCACGAGGUUAUGUGUGGGACGGCCUCAAUGAGCUUAUGCAUGAGAUGGCCUUCAUAAGCUUAUACGUAGAACAGCUUCCACAAGCUUAUACGUGGGGUAGCCUCCACGAGCUUAUGCAUAAAAACUUUGUUUAUCAGUCAUGGACUCAGACAUGAUCUUGGUGAGUCCAAAGCUGGAAAGUAAAUUAUUAUAGAACCUAGAAUUGAGAUAAUAAGAAAUGGAUGAUAAGACAUAUGAAACCAAUGCUAAAUAAAAUGUUUUGGUUGUUGGUAUUUGUGAUAUAUAUAUAUCCCUUUUGAUAAGCCAAAUAUUUGAUGUAUGUUUAUGCAGAUAUUUGUCAGUUUAAUUGAGUGAUACUGAAUGUUUGAAAAGAGGUACCAUAAUUUAUGUUUUCAUUUUGAUAUCGUUUAUUACUAUUCUCAAAUUAUAAUAUUAUAUUGGUACAGAUGGGCAGAGAAUCUUACUAGGCUGUAAAGCUCACACUAACUUUUUUCUUUUCUUUUUAGAGUUGCAGAAUUCUUAGUACUUGGUUAUGGUUAGGAUCAUGGGUGAAAUGAUAAAUAGGUUGAUACCAGUUAGAUGAUUGAAUUUUGAAAUUGUACAAGUUUAUUACUUGUUAUGAAUCGAGAUCAUUAUUAUUUACUAAUAUUGAGGUUGCAAUGAAUCUUCAAGCUUUACAUGUUCUGAAGAGCCUUGUCCUAAGGAGUAUGCAAGUUGUGUCAUGUGGUCGACCUGGAUGAUAGGUUUGGAGCAUGAUAGAAGUGGUGUCAGAGCAUAGAUUUAAGAUCACUAGGGACUGUGACAAAAGUUGUAUUAGAGCUUAAGGUUAUGAUCACUAGGGAUAUGACAAAAGUAACAGAAUAGAUUCAGAGCCUAGGUUUAAGAUCGCUAGGUAUUGUGAUAACAUUUAUGCAUGGGGUUUGGCAAACGAUGAGUACUGAACGGCUAGAUGAUAUAUGUUUCUAAUUUCAAUAAGUGGGUUGACCUAAGAUGAGUGCAAGAGGUUUUGGCUAUGGAUUAUAGUGUUACAUUAGUAGGUUAAUUAUGCCAUAUGUACUUAUUCAAUCGUCAUUUAAGUGAUUUGGAAUCCCAAACUUGAUGCGGGUGCAAACCAUGAUAACGUUCUUGUUCUAUUAUUAAUUGUUCGGUUGCAAAUUUUGGAUUUAUUAGCAAGAAGUUGUGAGGCAAUAACCUCUAAUGAAACUAUAUGUAGAUCAUGUAUUCUAGUUUAUCGCCUAAGAAAGAGUUUCAUAGUAUUAAAGUGGAAUUUGUAUGUGGAUCUUUCAUAGUACUAAAGUGAACUAAGAAAGAUUUUCAAAAAGGAGUGUUCUUCGUGGUUGAAUCUAUAUGUGGAUUAUAUAGGUAAUUGGCAUUUUUGGAUACUAUAAAUAGGUAUAUUUCUAUUAAUAGAUUUUAUUUUAUUUUAUUUUUAAGGUUAUAGAGCAUUCAUAUUGGUGGAAAACACUAGUAAUUUGAAUUUUUAUGUUUGGAUUGGGCUACUAAAUCUUUUUCAUAAUUAUUGGAGACAAUUGAAUGUGCUAAAGCAACUCAAAUCUAGGUUUAUAAUUCGAUCAAGAAUUUGUCAUUGUUGAUGAAGCCACUAGUAAAAUAUAAUAAUGAGUAUAGACUUUGGUUAUGAGCCGCUUAGAUAAGUUAUUACAUAUAUCAUUGCUACAUUAAUACUAUUAUAACUGUUGAUGGUUGUGCUAUUUGAUGAAUGGUUAGGAGGUUUCAAAGAAACAUGAUUUUUGGUUUCUUAAUGUAUAUCAUGAUCAAUGUUAUGUAUUCUUAAUUUAGAAUGUCCAUUAUCGACUUUGAGUUGGUAAAACAAAAGAUCUUGAUCCUUUCAAAAGGAGAGUAGACAAACACUCAAUCUACAAUUCUUCUUCUUCUUCUUUCAUCUCUAUCAUCAUGGUCUACAGUUCCAUUGAUUCUUUAUAAAUGUUCAUUCUUCCAAGCAUUCAUUAGUUAUAAUAGUUCUUACAUGUCUUGCUUCAAGCUAAAAUAGGCUUGUUUUAUGUACAAGUCAUGAUUAGACAAAAUUGUUUAGACUCAAUAAAAUAAUGAACUCAUACUUUUGAUUACAAUAUCUAACCAAUUGAACUAAACCUACCAAUAAAGAAGGAUUCUAAAUUUUGAAUUUUUUUUAUGAGUGGAAUGACUUGAUAAAGAUGAUCUCUGUAGACAUAAUAAGUGGUCAGCAAAUUCACUACAUGUGGGGCUCUAUCUAAAUAUGCAUUAUGUUUUGCCUUAUAAUCCAAGUUGAUCAACCCAAGCCCAAGCAUACUUUUGAGGCUCGAUAAACUAUUUUUCGAGUUUAAAAUGGUGAAGGAGAUUUCUUCUUCGUAUUUUUGUUGGUUGGGGGGGGGGGGAGGUUUGUGAUGGUGUGAGGCAACAUGCUUUUGUGGUAAGUUUUAUAAUACAUAGCAAAGCAUGUUGAGAAACAUGUAUAAUUCAUUUGUUUUUGUUGUUGUUGUUUGUGAGGGCAUGCCAUCCACAUUUAGUCAUGCACAACAUGCAUAAUUCAUAUGACUCGGUGUGCAUGGAUCUUAGAAAGCAUCAAAAGAGCAAUUAUUUUAUGUAUGGGAAAUGCCUCAUUCACCCACCAAGUCAUUACAAUAACCCGAUGUCGUGCUUUACUAAUCCAACACUUUUGACUUGCAUGAAACUAGUACUCUUGCAAUACCAAAGCAUGCAAUGUUGUCAUGCCAAUAUACAUGACCUUGAUGUUCACAACUUUUUGCCAAACUUGGUGUCGCAGAUAAUAGUCAUUGGCUUUACAACCAAAUGCAAUUCAAUAACACAACUACAAAUACUUACAAUCCAAUAGAACAUAAUGGAUUGCCAAACCAAGUGACAACAUGAGUCCUCUAUUCCUUCUUCUAAUCUAAUGUUGAAACCCUAAUCAUCUCAGAGUCCCAUCUAAACUCCUGCAAGACCCAGCCCAAAUGGAAAAGGACAAGGAGGCCUGCAUCUCCAUUCCAGUGGCCUCUAUUCUCUACCAUUUUGCUCUGGGCCCCACCUCUUUGGUAAAGUAAGGAUUUUUUUUUUGGUGAAAAAUUAAGGUAAGCCUGCCGCCGGGAUGCUCUAUAAAGGAAACCGGAUUCCCUCUUUCCGCUCCCCACCUCUUCAUCUCCGAGCGCUGGAGAAAUAGAGGGGGAGGAUCGGGGAAUCCCUAACCCUAACCCCUUUUUUUAACUCCCCAUCCUCUCUCUUCGAUUCGAUUCCACCCCUUAAAUCUGUCCAUCGCUUUGAGUUCUCUACGGAUCCUUCCCCGGUUGAUCCAUCCAGGUCCCUCUGCCGUUCGAUUUGGGGUUCUCUCGAUCGUAGAAGCUGUCGUUUCUUCGUUCUCUUCUCGAUUUUCCCGAUUGGAGUGGUUGUUCGGGGGAUCCUCGGAUGCGCCGCGGCUUCGGGCGAUUCUGCUCUGGCGAUGACGGUCUAGUGAGCUCGGAUCCAAUCUCUCCUCCUUCGGCUGAAUCCCUUUGAUCGAAGGGGUUUUUCUUUUCGCGGAAGCCUCUCUCCUCUUGUAGCGGCUGGGGGCGUUCGGCGAUCUUGGGGAUUUAUCUGCGGAUCGUGGCUCUUUGCUGUUGGGAUCGCUGUUCUAUUCGUUCGGAACGUAAAGGGGUCGGCGGAGAACUCAUCUCGAGCUCUUCCUCUUUUCCCUUCCGGAAAGAUCGUUUCUUGAUGGGAUAAUUGGGCGUUAUCGACAUCAAGGAUUGCUUGUAUCAGGCCUUAAUAUCAGGCCUGCUUUUUAAUUUUCGGCCUUUUAAAUUCAGUUUGCUGCUUUUUUCCGGGCAAUUUGUUCAUUGUGGUCGAGCUGGUCUGCAAUUAGAUCAGAGGAAGGCCGGAAAGGGAAAAAAAAAUAAUGGCUGUGUAUUAUAAGUUUAAAAGUGCAAAAUAUUACGAAUCUAUUCUAAUUGAGGGUCAAUUCAUAUCUGUUGCCAAUUUGAAAGAACGAAUUUUUGAAUCCAAGCAUUUGGGAAGGGGUACCGAUUUUGACCUCAUGGUCUCCAAUGCGCAGACUAAUGAAGGUUGGUUCUUCUUCUAGACUAGGUUCUCUUGAUUGGUUUAUUCAUGCAGUUUACUUGUAGGAGGAUAGUUUAGUUCAUUCAGAAUUAAUUGUCAUUAGACUAAAAACUAAUAAAAAAAGGAUUGAUUGGAGUAUUUUUAGAUAAUUGUGCUUGAAAAAUUAAGAGAUAAGGGGUAAUGGAGUUGGGGUGAGAUUGUGGCUACUGUUCGAUUGAUAGUGUGUCUGUUGAGUUACUUUGCUGGGAGCACUGUGGGUUGCUCUAAUCUCACUCUGGAUUUUUAUAGACUCUGUGUUCUUCCAUUUUCGGUUUCAGAAUAUGCAGACGAAGCUGCUAUGAUACCCAAAAAUACAUCAGUAUUGAUUUGUCGCAUCCCAGGACGGCCAUGGAAGCCCAUUGUUACGGAACGAGAUGAGACAAAAGUUGUAGAGGAUAAGUUAGAAGAUCUUCCACCAGCAAGUAACACUUUGGUUGGCGACCCAUCUACCAUGAAAUAUCCUGAAGAAUCUGAAUGGGAUGAGUUUGGUAAUGAUUUGUAUGCUAUUCCAGAAGUCCUUCCUGCUCAGUCAAGCUGUUCAGUGGUAGAUGUUUCUCCUGCAAAUAAGGUUGAUGAGGAUAGCAAGAUUAAGGCUUUAAUUGACACACCUGCCCUUGACUGGAAUCAGUGAGACAUUUAAUUGGAUCAUUGAUAUUUCUUAUAUUUCAGUGGUUUUAUUUUUUAGAAAUUAAAAAGUUUAGAGAAGUUCGAGAGAAUGGAGUAGCAAUAGCAGUCACAUUUUGUUUACCAAUGAGGAAUCAUUUAUAACAUAAUGUUUUUCACUGGGUCAAUGUAACUUUGCACUCAAACACAAGAAGGUUAUGGUGCUGGAAGAGGCUUUGGUAGGGGAAUGGGUGGGAGGAUGAUGGCUGGUCGUGGUUUUGGCCGAGGUGGGCUGGAGCGAAGGACACCUCCAGCAGGCUAUGUUUGUCAUAGAUGCAAAGUGCCAGGUAAUUUUAUCCAGCACUGCCCCACAAAUGGUGAUCCAAGUUAUGAUGUUAAAAGGGUGAGACCCCCAACUGGCAUUCCUAAAUCAAUGUUAAUGGCAACUCCUGAUGGUUCCUAUGCAUUGCCUGGUGGUGCUGUUGCUGUUCUUAAGCCAAAUGAGGAUCUGUCCGAUUUAGGCAUCGUGGGUAUGAACCAGGGGCAUGGAUAUUUGACCAGGUAAGAAUUUGAGGCUAAGAAAGCUGAUCUAAGAUGGAAGCGUGAAAUGGGCCAACUCAAUGAAAGAAAUUCACUAAUUUCCGUCUCCACAUAAGAGACUUAGGCAGAAGGGUUUUUGCCCUCUUCCUUCUGAAGGUCCUUCAUCGGUUGAAGAAAUCCGGGUCCGGCUGCUGGCAAUGGAAAACGGAGAAGACAGAGACAAGUUAUUAGAGCUUUACGAGAUCCUUCACCUUCAUCUGGCGAAUGUCCGGCUGGUAGAUGCUGACAAAAUCUAUGAGGCGUUCCUCUACAAGAAAAAUAGAGCAGAAACAGUAAUUAUCUGUUUCUGCUCUGUUUUUCUUAUAGAGGAAUGCCUCAUAGAUUUUGUCAGCAUCUACCAGCCGGACAUUCGCCAGAUGAAGGUGAAGGAUCUUGUAAAGCUCUAAUAAUUUGUCUCUAUCUUCUCCGUUUUCCAUUGUCAGCAGUCGCAUCCGGAUUUCUUCAACCGAUGAAGGACCUUCAUGUUCAAAGAGCAGAAGUACAAUUGAAGCGAACGCGAGACGAUGGGCGGAGACGCGUGAUGGCUCGGAUCACACGCGGACGAAGGAUGGAGAGCCAGAGGGGCUUCGGAGUGGUCAUGGGGAAAUGGGAGCGAUGUGUGAUGGCCCGUAGUCCGCGUCGACGUGGGGGAAAAGGGCACUGAUGGAUUCCGAAGCAGAGGGGGGACGUGAUAGGGUGUGAUGGACGAUGGCUCGCCUUGUACGGGAGUAAUUAAGUGGAAGGGGGAGUGAGGGGAGUUUUUGUCUUUGUUCUGUUGGUUAACUUGUAUUGGGUUUCUCUCACCCGAAGAGGGAACUGUAUCUUUGCUAUUUUGCAUGGCUUCUCUUCUCUUUGGGAAGAGCCACUGAAUAUCAUUUCCUUUCCCCUAUCUUUGUUGGUUUCUUCUCUGGUUGGGACCUACCACCCUUUUCUUGACAUUUUUAAUAAUGAGUUAAAACUGCAAGAGCUUCAGAGUUCA
Non-coding RNA from Phoenix dactylifera (date palm), 10826 nucleotides. NCBI's taxonomy places the organism in Eukaryota, Viridiplantae, Streptophyta, Magnoliopsida, Arecales, Arecaceae. The record is from RefSeq and is a predicted model, not a curated record.